AUGACAACCAAAAGGUCUUUUCAAUUUCUCUCUCUUCAAUUUUUCUCUGUUCACAUUUCUCUCUCCUCUUUUUAUUAUUUUAUAAAAAAGUUUUUGUAAAAAAAAAUUGUAAAAAAAGUUUUGUUAAAAAAAUUUAAAACCGUAAAAAAAUUUCGUAAAAAAACGUAAAAAUGUUAUAAAACGUGUGUGUAAAAAAAGUUUUUGUAAAAAAAAUUGUAAAAAGUUUUUGUAAAAAAAAAUUGUAAAAAGUUUUUUUGUAAAAAGAAAGUUUAAAACCGUAAAAAAAGCUUUUGUAAAAAAAAGUUUAAAAUCGUAAAAAAAAUUUAAAAAAACGUGUGUGUAAAAAAACGGCGCGUAAAUACGGGGCGUAAAAAACGAGGCAUAAAAAAAGCACGUAAAAAACGAGUUGUAAAAAACGGCGCGUAAAAAUGGGGCGUAAAAAACUGCUCGUAAAAAAAACCGGGUCAUAAAACGACGCGUAAAUACGGGACGUGAAAAAAGGCGUAAAACGGGGCGUAAAAAACGGCUCGUAAAAACGUUUUUUUUAAAUCCUGGCAAAAAUUAUUUUUUGUAAAAAAAAUCAGCGCAUAACAACGGGGCAUAAAAAAUGGCUUGUAAAAAAUCGGGUGAUAAAACGACGGGUAAAUAAGGGGCGUGAAUACGAGGCGUAAAAAUGGCGCGAAAAAACAGGACGUGAAAAACGGCGCAUAAAACCGGGCAUAAAAAACGGUGUGUAAAAAACCUAUCGCAAAAACGACACGUAAAAACAGGGCGUAAAAAAUGGCGCGUAAAAGCGGGGCGUAAAAAACGGCGCGUUAAAAAAUGACACGUAAAACCUGGAGUAAAAAAACGGCGUGUGAAAAAGCCGGGCUUAAAAACGGCGUGAAAAAACGGCCUCUAAAAAUUGUUUUGGUUUAAAAAUCUGGAUCUAAAAUGGUUUUUAAUAAAAAAAUUCUGUUUUAAAAAAAUAAGUAAUAUAAUA
This 982-nucleotide long non-coding RNA is filed under the name Helianthus annuus (common sunflower). Its description in RNAcentral is "hypothetical non coding rna". Lineage: Eukaryota; Viridiplantae; Streptophyta; Magnoliopsida; Asterales; Asteraceae. The record is from RNAcentral.